AGUGAACGCUGGCGGUAGGCCUAACACAUGCAAGUCGAACGGCAGCACAGUAAGAGCUUGCUCUUACGGGUGGCGAGUGGCGGACGGGUGAGGAAUACAUCGGAAUCUACUUUUUCGUGGGGGAUAACGUAGGGAAACUUACGCUAAUACCGCAUACGACCUACGGGUGAAAGCAGGGGAUCUUCUGACCUUGCGCGAUUGAAUGAGCCGAUGUCGGAUUAGCUGGUUGGCGGGGUAAAGGCCAACCAAGGCGACGAUCCGUAGCUGGUCUGAGAGGAUGAUCAGCCACACUGGAACUGAGACACGGUCCAGACUCCUACGGGAGGCAGCAGUGGGGAAUAUUGGACAAUGGGCGCAAGCCUGAUCCAGCCAUACCGCGUGGGUGAAGAAGGCCUUCGGGUUGUAAAGCCCUUUUGUUGGGAAAGAAAAGCAGCAGGUUAAUACCCCGCUGUUCUGACGGUACCCAAAGAAUAAGCACCGGCUAACUUCGUG
RNAcentral lists this ribosomal RNA (492 nucleotides) under uncultured bacterium. Its description in RNAcentral is "partial 16S ribosomal RNA". It matches the Rfam family "Bacterial small subunit ribosomal RNA", at positions 29 to 507 of the family's 1533-position model. The record is from RNAcentral.